GAGUUUGAUCAUGGCUCAGGAUGAACGCUGGCGGCGUGCCUAACACAUGCAAGUCGAGCGAGAAUCUUGGGAGCGGAGACUUCGGUCGAAGCGAACAAGAGGAAAGCGGCGGACGGGUGCGUAACGCGUGGGUAACCUGCCUUUCACACAGGGAUAGCCACCGGAAACGGUGAUUAAUACCAGAUGAUAUACUUUAUUUGCAUGAAUGAAGUAUCAAAGAUUUAUCGGUGAAAGAUGGACCCGCGUCUGAUUAGCUAGUUGGUGGGGUAAAGGCCUACCAAGGCGACGAUCAGUAGCCGACCUGAGAGGGCGAACGGCCACACUGGAACUGAGACACGGUCCAGACUCCUACGGGAGGCAGCAGUGGGGAAUAUUCGGCAAUGGGGGGAACCCUGACCGAGCAACGCCGCGUGAGCGAUGAAGGUCUUCGGAUUGUAAAGCUCUGUUGGAUGGGAAGAUAAUGACGUACCAUCUGAGGAGCCCCGCA
RNAcentral lists this ribosomal RNA (487 nucleotides) under Peptostreptococcaceae bacterium canine oral taxon 034. RNAcentral's name for it is "bacterial SSU rRNA". It matches the Rfam family "Bacterial small subunit ribosomal RNA", at positions 9 to 497 of the family's 1533-position model. Lineage: Bacteria; Bacillati; Bacillota; Clostridia; Peptostreptococcales; Peptostreptococcaceae. The record is from RNAcentral.